AUCAGGUCCGGCAUUUACAGACACUACAAGAGUAGUGUUAGCAAGAGCUAAAGGCCAAUGUUGAGCCGGCACGUUGUCUUCAUGUACUUUAACUAGUUGUCCCAAGGCCACAUUUGCUUUUCCGUAAAUCCAUUUGCUGCGUUGUUGUCACUCGCUGCCAUCUAUCCAGAUACCGAAGUUCCAUUCCGGGAAGGUCCGUGGAAUGGUAAAGUAAUGAUUCUGGUACUGACGUUAAUUCGGUUCCAAUCAGCAAAUGCCCAGGAGUGAGAGCAUUGAAAUCGUUGGGGUCAUCUGAAGUGGGUGCUAUUGGCCUUGAAUUAACGAUAGCUUCCACAUCCGAGAACACAGUGAGUAGUUCCUCGAAAGUAAGAGAUGCGUUUGAAAUAUUGAUCUAUGACGUCUGAGUUAAACAAUUUUGACUUAAACUCAGCUAGCCUUGUAUCAGCGCCAAAAAAGUUUGUGGCGUUGUCGCACACCAUGCGCAAUGGUACACCACGGCGCGCUACAAAUCUACGUAUACAAAGCGGAAAUGCAUUUGUUGACAAUUCGGAGACUAAUUCAAUAUGAAUCGCCGUUGAAGCAAAACAUACAAAAAUUGCCGCAUAUGUUUUGUACGGCGGCUUUCUGCGAAUCCUGUAAGACGUGAAAAAUGGGCCGCAAAAAUCUACUCCUGUUACUAGGAAUGGUCUUUCAGCUCGUAGUCGAUCAGCAGGAAGAUUGCCCUUCAGUUGAGAUAUGAGGCGAGGUUAAAGUGAAAGAAGCGGAUGCAGCUUCGCACAACUUUUCUAAUCAACGCUCGUGCGUUGAUUACCCAAAUUCGUUUUCGUAAAAGAGAUAAAAUAAACUUUGGGCCAGCA
Molecule: long non-coding RNA, 857 nt
Organism: Drosophila willistoni
Lineage: Eukaryota; Metazoa; Arthropoda; Insecta; Diptera; Drosophilidae
Exons: 2
Source: RefSeq, a predicted model, not a curated record